CAACUCUGGAGAGGGGCGUCAAACCCCCACCGAAGGGGCAAAAUUCGCGUCCGCUACCGUGCGUGAUGGGUAGCUUGCGAACCAAAACUCUCAGGUUUUAACAGAGUGGGGAGG
This 114-nucleotide non-coding RNA is filed under the name Rothia nasimurium. Its description in RNAcentral is "Glycine sequence". It matches the Rfam family "Glycine riboswitch aptamer". Rfam says of the family: This family represents the bacterial glycine riboswitch. Lineage: Bacteria; Bacillati; Actinomycetota; Actinomycetes; Micrococcales; Micrococcaceae. The record is from Rfam by way of RNAcentral.